AACAAGGUUUCCGUAGGUGAACCUGCGGAAGGAUCAUUAUUGAAUAAUUCUUGAUGGGUUGUUGCUGGCCUCUUGAGGCAUAUGUGCACACCUGUCUUGGACUCUUCUUACUAUUCAUCCACCCUGUGCACUUCUUGUGGUCUUCUUUCAAGGUCGAAGUGGGCUUGGUCUUUCUAGGCUCUAUGAGGUCUUGAGGAGGGGCAUGUUUGCUUUUGUCAUAGACGAGUAUAGCAGGAAUGUCUUCUAACGGGCAACCUAUGCCUGUGAUUUAAUAUCAUACAACUUUCAGCAACGGAUCUCUUGGCUCUCGCAUCGAUGAAGAACGCAGCGAAAUGCGAUAAGUAAUGUGAAUUGCAGAAUUCAGUGAAUCAUCGAAUCUUUGAACGCACCUUGCACUCCUUGGUAUUCCGAGGAGCAUGCCUGUUUGAGUGUCAGUUGUUUUUCAACCUACCUAUGUUUCUUGCUGGGUGAGGCUUGGAUGUGGAGGAAAAUAUGUGCAGGCCUUUAUGACUAUGUCAUGGGUCGGCUCCUCUGAAAUGCAUUAGCGGAGCUGCUUGCAACCUUGCUAUAGGCGUGAUAAAUAAUUUCUGUGCCAAGUGGGGUUUGCCUUGUUGUGGUUUGGCUUCCAACUCGGUCUGUGAAGACCCUUAACUGAAUAUCUUGACCUCAAAUCAGGUGGGACUACCCGCUGAACUUAAGCAUAUCA
This 706-nucleotide ribosomal RNA is filed under the name Leucocoprinus gongylophorus. RNAcentral describes it as "eukaryotic LSU rRNA". The stretch from base 281 to 434 matches the Rfam family "5.8S ribosomal RNA". Lineage: Eukaryota; Fungi; Basidiomycota; Agaricomycetes; Agaricales; Agaricaceae. The record is from RNAcentral.